This 73-nucleotide transfer RNA is filed under the name Capra hircus (goat). It matches the Rfam family "tRNA". From Rfam's summary of the family: Transfer RNA (tRNA) molecules are approximately 80 nucleotides in length. The record is from Rfam by way of RNAcentral. Lineage: Eukaryota; Metazoa; Chordata; Mammalia; Artiodactyla; Bovidae. RNAcentral also lists the same sequence under 1 other name.
UUCCUGGUGGUCCAAUCGUUAAGACUCCAUGCUUCCAAUGCAGGGGGAGCAGGUUCAAUUCCUGCUAAGGAAC